Eriocheir sinensis (Chinese mitten crab) is the source of this 2469-nucleotide long non-coding RNA. RefSeq lists it as uncharacterized. The record is from RefSeq and is a predicted model, not a curated record. Lineage: Eukaryota; Metazoa; Arthropoda; Malacostraca; Decapoda; Varunidae. The transcript has 3 exons.
GCCACACCUCGCCUUGCCGGGGGGGGUGAGGUGCUGGGGGGGUAGGGACAACGGGGGAACCACAGGUGUAGUCUUGGGUGUACUGCUAGUCUUUAUAGUGCCCUGCCCUUCCUCCUCUCCCUUGCCGGAUAGCCUGAGUGCUUUGUUUUAUUUAUUUAUUUACCAGUGUAUAGAUUUUUAGUUUGCUGGUCAGUGUGAGUGCAGGGAGUUUUGUGUAGUGUUGCUUUCACCGUGUGUUGUGAGUUCCUCGGCUGAUUUUUCACAGUGAAUGAUCAGAAACUACCUUUGGCUGGUGACUUGGCCAGUAAAAGAUACCAGAAAUAGUCCUCACAGAAUAGUUUGAAGGGAUAAACAGACAGUAGGAAAAGUGAGCAGAUGAUUAGUGUGAUUGAAUAGUUUGAAAGAUAAACAUACAAUAGGAACAGUGAGCAGAUGAUUAGUGUGAUUGAAUAGUUUGAAGGAUAAACAUACAAUAGGAAAAGUGAACAGAUGAUUAGUGUGAUUGAAUAGUUUGAAGGGAUAUGCCUGCAAUAAGAACAGUACAUAGACAAGUAUUAAGAUAGGGCAUCAAAUUCUGCCUUAAAUCACAAAGAGUCCUCUGAGUAAAUAUAGACAGAUAUGAAACUCCACAAUAUAAGUGAAAAGGAGAAAGUAGUGAGGUUAAGGAAUACAGUCCAUUCUGAAAGACUUGCUUGAGAAUGAAAAGGUAUAAAGAAGAGAUAUGAUACAGAAAAUGAAUUAGCCUUUUGCUGUAAGUUUACGUAAAGACGAUAACACAAUGAGAGGAGUGAAACGAGGAAAAUAAUAUCACAGACAAGCUCUCAUAUGUAAGUCUAAUUCUAGUGCACUAUCAAGGGAAAUAGUGGAGAGAUAAGAUAGGGAAAGUGAGCUGAAGGCAUUAUUGAUUACUGAUACUCUGAGAAAAACCCACGACAGGAAUACUUCACACACUGCCGAGGACCAUUAGGGAGCCAGUGUGUACAGGGUCAGGUUGGUUGGAGGAGGAGGAGGAGUAGGAGGAGGAGGAGAAGGAACACUCAAUAAUAUAGGUUGUUAGUUUUCAUGACAACAAUAGGAGAGGAGAACCAGCAGAAGUCACCUCUGUGGAGUACAAUAACUUUUUUUAUAUAAAUUACAAGAGGGGAGAGAAAUGAGACCCACUUUAUGGCUACCAAGUGGUGUUUUUAGGCUCUGUGACUUGAGGAAGGGACAGCAUCUUGCAAUGGGUUCACAAUGGCAUGCAUUUUAUUCACUUUGCAUCAAAACAAAGGGAGAUGCGUCGAGAUGAUGGGUGUGUGGAUAGGUAGGGAAGACUUAAGGAGGAGGAAGAAGAGGGAAGGGAAAGCAUGGUUAGGUAGGGAAGACUUGAGGAGGCUGGAGGAGGGAAGGGAAAGCAUGGUUAGAUCGGAAACACUUGACGAGGGAAAGGACAGCAUCUUGAACAGGCUCUGAUGGCAUGCAGUUCAUUCACUAUUCACCAUAAACAAAGGGAGGGAAGAGUCAAGGGAUGGUGGGUGUGUGGUUAGGUAGAGGAGGCUGGAGGAGGGAAGGGAAAGCAUGGUUAGAUCGGAAACACUUGACGAGGGAAAGGACAGCAUCUUGAACAGGCUCUGAUGGCAUGCAGUUCAUUCACUAUUCACCAUAAACAAAGGGAGGGGAGAGUCAAGGGAUGGUGGGUGUGUGGUUAGGUAGAGGAGGCUGGAGGAGGGAAGGGAAAGCAUGGUUAGAUUGGAAACACUUGACUAGGGAAAGAACAGCAUCUUGAACAGGCUCUGAUGGCAUGCAGUUCAUUCGCUAUUCACCAUAAACAAAGGGAGGGGAGAGUCAAGGGAUGGUGGGUGUGUGGUUAGGUAGAGGAGGCUGGAGGAGGGAAGGGGCAGCACUGUGCACUGACCGGGUCCUGCUGGCAUGAAGUCUUCGAGGGGUCAUCUUGGGUCACCUCUGUUUUGUUUGUAGUCACGUUACUUGACCUUCACCCUUGUAUAUUAUUGUUUUAAGACUUAAGACGACUCAUCAGUUAAUCCUUGCUCCUAUUUUUAUUGUUCUUUUAUAUUGAUUAAGAGUGAUUCUGUACAUAUUUAGUAAUGCCCUCCCAUGAGCUUAUAGAUAGCCCCCUCCCAAGCCCUUAUAGCCAGCACCAGAGUGAAAGAAUAGGAGAGUCUACCCACCUUCAUCACUGGCGGCUUGUUGUUCCCGAAAUAGCUGUGCAAAAUUCAAAGUGAUGGUGAUGCAAUAGUGUUUUUGUGUACUGUAGGUAUCAUCAGGGUCUUGAAGAAGUACCUAGAGAUUUGAAGUUCAUGCAGCUCUUUUGGUAACAACACUCUGUCUGUGAGGAAAAUGGCCACACCCUCCUAUUCUGUGACCCUGGCUACCACUCCUCUAAGACCCUGUAUCUAGCCCCCUCCCAAGGCCUUAUAGCUAACUCCCUCUCAAGAACCUGUAGCUAGUCCCCUCUCAAGGCCUUAUAGC